RNAcentral lists this ribosomal RNA (496 nucleotides) under uncultured bacterium. RNAcentral describes it as "partial 16S ribosomal RNA". It matches the Rfam family "Bacterial small subunit ribosomal RNA", at positions 28 to 506 of the family's 1533-position model. The record is from RNAcentral.
GACGAAUGCUGGCGGCGUGCCUAAUACAUGCAAGUUGAGCGCUGAAGGUUGGUACUUGUACCAACUGGAUGAGCAGCGAACGGGUGAGUAACGCGUGGGGAAUCUGCCUUUGAGCGGGGGACAACAUUUGGAAACGAAUGCUAAUACCGCAUAAAAACUUUAAACACAAGUUUUAAGUUUGAAAGAUGCAAUUGCAUCACUCAAAGAUGAUCCCGCGUUGUAUUAGCUAGUUGGUGAGGUAAAGGCUCACCAAGGCGAUGAUACAUAGCCGACCUGAGAGGGUGAUCGGCCACAUUGGGACUGAGACACGGCCCAAACUCCUACGGGAGGCAGCAGUAGGGAAUCUUCGGCAAUGGACGAAAGUCUGACCGAGCAACGCCGCGUGAGUGAAGAAGGUUUUCGGAUCGUAAAACUCUGUUGGUAGAGAAGAACGUUGGUGAGAGUGGAAAGCUCAUCAAGUGACGGUAACUACCCAGAAAGGGACGGCUAACUACGU